Epinephelus fuscoguttatus (brown-marbled grouper) is the source of this 627-nucleotide long non-coding RNA. RefSeq lists it as uncharacterized. The transcript has 5 exons. The record is from RefSeq and is a predicted model, not a curated record. Lineage: Eukaryota; Metazoa; Chordata; Actinopteri; Perciformes; Serranidae.
GGGAUGAAAAGUGAUAUGAGAUAUAAGAUAUGUAAGUAAAAAUAAAUAACGGCCUGUUUCUAAUGUAGUCUGUUUCAAAUGAAGCUGGUAGCCUACAGUUGUGCUGUGGGAUUAGUGUUAAAUCCUGCAUGGACAGUGGACAGCAAGUUUUUAGGAUUAUCCUUCCGCAUACAUCAUUUCAUCACGUUUUGUACCUUUGGGACAAACAUAAAAUCAAAACAGCUUUGACAGCUGAUUGGACGACUGGUGGCAGGGUCUUUUCUUUAAAAAGUGCACUUGGAGAUGACAAGACCUCAAACCAAAACUCACCACUGGACUCCGUGUUUGGCCUUUGUUGUCAACAUCACUUUCAGAUUUGAAGGAAGGACUCUUGUGUUUUUCAGCUAUGAAACUGCUGGUCCUCGCUCUGUGCCUCACUGCCUUAAGUUACGCCUUUCCUGUCUCUGAAGAAGAGAACGAUCGAGUCAAACGCUCAGGGAGUAAUGAGAUGGGCCAUUUCAUGCUUCAGUAUUUGUCUCAGUAUCAGUCUCAGUAUCCAGCAGUUUACCCCGGCUAUCAACCCAGCAAUCCCAUUUCUGCAUUCCUGCAGUUUCUGUUGUCAAGUCUUGCCAGUUUAAUUCCUCUCCC